This is a non-coding RNA of Pelobates cultripes (western spadefoot toad), 828 nucleotides long. Lineage: Eukaryota; Metazoa; Chordata; Amphibia; Anura; Pelobatidae. The record is from the annotation of a GenBank genome assembly.
UAAAAUAACACAUUUCAACAGAGACAUCAACAUGAACAUCAACAUCGUGUCUGCUCUAUGUUUUCCAUUCUAGUUUGCACUCAUGUAGGGCAUAUUCUCCUCGCGGGUUACCUUAUUUAGUCCAGGUUUUAUGAACCAAGGAUGUUUGUGUGUAAUGGCCGUCUACCCUCUCAUCCUAAUUUCUCAUUGGUGGGAGUGCUUACUGGUGGCCUCGAGUUGGACUGAGAACUUCACCUUUCUUCGUGUAUGAGCCUCCCUUUUGUUGUGUGCGGUUGCCUUGCGUAAUGUCAAGUGUCACUGUAUUUCUCAGUGUAUUGUGUCCAUUGGGUUUGCGCUUCCCUAAUCGUGUGGUUCGUUUUGAGAUAUUUAUUAGCCAUGUUUUCGUACUCCCAGUUUGUGGUGAUUUGGCAUAUCAGUGCUUGUUUAGUUGGCGGUUGGGGUUGUUUCCAACAUCUGGCUAUCAGGGUCACCGCCUCUAUUAGUGUUUGGAAUAUUAGUUGCCUCUCCGGUUUGUGCCAGAGAUUUAGGUGCAUGAAGAGCAGGCCUUGUUCUGGUGUCAAGUGAUAUGUGGUCCCUAUCGUGUGGGUGAUAAUUCUCUCUACUUGUCUCCAGUAUGGGGUCAGAGCUGGACAAGUCCACCAUAUGUGGAACAUCGUUCCCCGUUCCCCGCAAUUCCUCCAACAUUCCGCCUUGGUGCUUGGAUAUAUUUUGUCCAGUCUGUCCGGGACCAUGUACCAUCUAUAUAGAACUUUCCUCAUUGUUUCUAAGUGUGAGGCGCACAUGGUGAGACCUUUGUGUGCUCUGAAAGCUAGUUUCCAAUCCCUGUCC